AUUUCCCUCCUUCUUUAGGCCUAACACAUGCAAGUCGAACGGCAGCACAGUAAGAGCUUGCUCUUACGGGUGGCGAGUGGCGGACGGGUGAGGAAUACAUCGGAAUCUACUUUUUCGUGGGGGAUAACGUAGGGAAACUUACGCUAAUACCGCAUACGACCUACGGGUGAAAGCAGGGGAUCUUCGGACCUUGCGCGAUUGAAUGAGCCGAUGUCGGAUUAGCUAGUUGGCGGGGUAAAGGCCCACCAAGGCGACGAUCCGUAGCUGGUCUGAGAGGAUGAUCAGCCACACUGGAACUGAGACACGGUCCAGACUCCUACGGGAGGCAGCAGUGGGGAAUAUUGGACAAUGGGCGCAAGCCUGAUCCAGCCAUACCGCGUGGGUGAAGAAGGCCUUCGGGUUGUAAAGCCCUUUUGUUGGGAAAGAAAAGCAGCAGGUUAAUACCCCGCUGUUCUGACGGUACCCAAAGAAUAAGCACCGGCUAACUUCGUG
RNAcentral lists this ribosomal RNA (492 nucleotides) under uncultured bacterium. RNAcentral's name for it is "partial 16S ribosomal RNA". It matches the Rfam family "Bacterial small subunit ribosomal RNA", at positions 36 to 507 of the family's 1533-position model. The record is from RNAcentral.